GAGUUUUGUACUUUAUGAAAUAAUUUCUCUUGGGCCAUUUGUUGGGCCGAAUUUAGGUUUUCCGGCCCAGUUUGAAUUAUAAAUGUAACCCUUAUUUUGUUUAAAAUGAGCAGCCACGGUACUAUAGUAAACACACCUUAUUCACCAUAACUUUUUGUUUCGUGCGAUCAUGAAGAGAAACUAAUCUUCUAGAGUCAAUCUCCUGUAACCGAAUUUCCAAGGCUUUGAGAUUUUUAUCCUAUUAAUUUAGUUUCGUUUCUC
This 261-nucleotide long non-coding RNA is filed under the name Lathyrus oleraceus (garden pea). RNAcentral's name for it is "Pisum sativum (pea) long non-coding RNA (PSAT_LNC002749)". Lineage: Eukaryota; Viridiplantae; Streptophyta; Magnoliopsida; Fabales; Fabaceae. The record is from RNAcentral.